This 497-nucleotide ribosomal RNA is filed under the name uncultured bacterium. RNAcentral describes it as "partial 16S ribosomal RNA". It matches the Rfam family "Bacterial small subunit ribosomal RNA", at positions 28 to 507 of the family's 1533-position model. The record is from RNAcentral.
GAUGAACGCUGGCGGCGUGCCUAAUACAUGCAAGUCGAGCGAACGGACGAGAAGCUUGCUUCUCUGAUGUUAGCGGCGGACGGGUGAGUAACACGUGGAUAACCUACCUAUAAGACUGGGAUAACUUCGGGAAACCGGAGCUAACACCGGAUAAUAUUUUGAACCGCAUGGUUCAAAAGUGAAAGACGGUCUUGCUGUCACUUAUAGAUGGAUCCGCGCUGCAUUAGCUAGUUGGUAAGGUAACGGCUUACCAAGGCAACGAUGCAUAGCCGACCUGAGAGGGUGAUCGGCCACACUGGAACUGAGACACGGUCCAGACUCCUACGGGAGGCAGCAGUGGGGAAUCUUCCGCAAUGGGCGAAAGCCUGACGGAGCAACGCCGCGUGAGUGAUGAAGGUCUUCGGAUCGUAAAACUCUGUUAUUAGGGAAGAACAGAUGUGUAAGUAACUGUGCACAUCUUGACGGUACCUAAUCAGAAAGCCACGGCUAACUACGUG